AUCGUGGUGCCGACGCUGGGGAUCGGCUGGCCGGUCAGCUCGGCCAUGAUGCCGAGCCCGGCGAGGUUCGAGGUCUUGCCCUGGUC
This 86-nucleotide transfer RNA is filed under the name Methylobacterium marchantiae. Its description in RNAcentral is "tRNA-Leu". Lineage: Bacteria; Pseudomonadati; Pseudomonadota; Alphaproteobacteria; Hyphomicrobiales; Methylobacteriaceae. The record is from RNAcentral.